UACGUAGGGGACGAGUGUUGUCCGGAUUUACUGGGCGUAAAGCGCAUGUAGGUGGUGAUUUAAGUCAGGUGUUAAAGGCAGAGGCUCAACCUUUGUUCGCACUUGAUACUGAAUCACUCGAGGAUAGGAGAGGAGAGUGGAACUCACAGUGUAGCGGUGAAAUGCGUAGAUAUUGUGAGGAACACCAAUGGCGAAGGCAGCUCUCUGGACUAUUCCUGACACUAAGAUGCGAAAGCGUGGGGAGC
Molecule: ribosomal RNA, 245 nt
Filed under: uncultured bacterium
Lineage: Bacteria
Description: partial 16S ribosomal RNA
Rfam family: Bacterial small subunit ribosomal RNA
Source: RNAcentral